Paramuricea clavata is the source of this 714-nucleotide non-coding RNA. The record is from the annotation of a GenBank genome assembly. NCBI's taxonomy places the organism in Eukaryota, Metazoa, Cnidaria, Anthozoa, Malacalcyonacea, Plexauridae.
CAGCAGCUGUGACCGUGUUCGCAGGUUCCAAGGGAACAGCUUUUAAAAUAUAUAUAAAGAAGAAAUAUCAACGCCACGAAAGGUUUUAUAACAUAUUAACGAAGUUAUGAAAGAAAAAACGAAAGAUUUUCUGCAAAUGGGAAGAAGAACUGGUUAUUUGUUCGUAUAGUUACGUGAUUACCCCUUCUGACAAUGAUUCAAGUCGCUGUAGAGGAAGGAAUGCGCAUAUUUCCGUCUUGAGACUCCGUCCCGACUAAUCGGAAUCGACUACGGGUCUAUACUGUAUAAUAUACUUGCAAUAUAUAAUUAAAUUUGUUUGUAUCUUUUUCAUUUUACAGGAAACGAGAAUGUUUUCAGGAACCUUGUCUCUUCAGUCAUCGCCAUCAACAGUAAUGAUUCUGUAAUUCCCAGAUGCAACACUGUGACGGACAGACUUGGCAAGUGUGUUUGUCAUUAUGAAUUUUGUUUAAGCUGGUAUCCUUGUGCAUUAAAAUAUUGCGACGACAACAGCCAGGGAGGUGAUAGAGUAUCAUAUCGCUGUGGCAUCAAGACGUGCGGAAAAUGCAGACGAUUUCAGUAUUACGUUGAGCAACACGACGAUUGUUUCUGGGAGACACCAUUUAUUAACGCCAGCUGAUAUUUGCAAAACAUGGAGUGGCUGAAGGUGAAUUGUCGCAAUAUUGAAUUAGAGCCCAUACCCCCCCCCCCCCCCCC